RNAcentral lists this ribosomal RNA (426 nucleotides) under uncultured bacterium. RNAcentral's name for it is "partial 16S ribosomal RNA". It matches the Rfam family "Bacterial small subunit ribosomal RNA", at positions 354 to 796 of the family's 1533-position model. The record is from RNAcentral.
GUCGAGAAUCUUGGGCAAUGCGCGAAAGCGUGACCCAGCAAUGCCGCGUGUAUGAUGAAGGCCCUCGGGUCGUAAAGUACUGUCUCCCGUGACGAAAUUUGACGGUAGCGGGGAAGGAAGCCACGGCUAACUACGUGCCAGCAGCCGCGGUAAUACGUAGGUGGCGAGCGUUGUUCGGAUUUAUUGGGCGUAAAGGGUCUGUAGGAGGUUUGUUAAAUACGGGGUGAAAUCCCGAAGCUCAACUUCGGAAUUGCCUUGUAGACUGACGAACUGGAGUACCGGAGAGGUAAGCGGAAUACCAGGUGUAGCGGUGGAAUGCGUAGAUAUCUGGUAGAACACCAAAAGCGAAGGCAGCUUGCUGGACGGAAACUGACUCUGAAAGACGAAAGCAUGGGGAGCAAACAGGAUUAGAUACCCUUGUAGUCC